AAAANANNUCAAAGGAAUGUACCGGGGGCCCGCNACAANNGNCGGAGCGUGUGGCUCANUUCCGAUGCAACGCCUAAAGAACCUUACUNGGGCUUGACAAUCUACNGUAAANCGGGUGNAAGGCACCGNNGUGUCUUCCGGCGCCGNAACAAAAGGUGGNGCCAUGGCCNGUCGUCAGACUCGUGUCGUGAGAUGNUGGGUUAAGUCCCGCAACGAGNCGCAACGCCNUGUCCUAUGUUGCCAGCGGGUAAUGACCGGGGACUCAUGGGAGNCCGCCGGUGCCAAAACCGGAGGAAGGUGGGGAUGAAGUCAAGUCAGCAUGCCCCUUACGUCCAGGGCUGCACACGCGCUACAAUGGCCGGUACAAAGGGUUGCAAACUCGNCGAGGGUGAGCUAAUCCCAAAAAACCGGUCUCAGUUCGGAUUGCAGUCUGCAACUCGACUGCAUGAAGUCGGAGUCGCUAGUAAUCGCAGAUCAGCACGCUGCGGUGAAUACGUUCCCGGGCCUUGUACACACCGCCCGUCACACCACGAAAGUCGGCAACACCCGAAGCCGGUGGCCCAACCCUUUUGGGAGGGAGCCGUCGAAGGUGGGGUUGGCGAUUGGGGUGAAGUCGUAANAAGGUAUC
Molecule: ribosomal RNA, 628 nt
Filed under: uncultured bacterium
Lineage: Bacteria
Description: partial 16S ribosomal RNA
Rfam family: Bacterial small subunit ribosomal RNA
Source: RNAcentral